AGCAGCCGCGGUAAUUCCAGCUCCAAUAGCGUAUAUUAAAGUUGUUGCAGUUAAAAAGCUCGUAGUUGAAUUUCGGGACUAAUAUGUCGGUCGUACUUUGUACGUACUAGCAUUAUUGGUUUCUCCCUUCUGACGAACCACGAUGUCAUUAAUUUGGUGUCAUGGGAAAUCAGGACUGUUACUUUGAAAAAUUAGAGUGUUUAAAGCAAGCUCGCGCUUGAAUACAUUAGCAUGGAAUAAUGAAAUAGGACGUUUGAUUCUAUUUUGUUGGUUUCUAGGAUCGACGUAAUGAUUAAUAGGGAUAGUUGGGGGCAUUAGUAUUCAAUUGUCAGAGGUGAAAUUCUUGGAUUUAUUGAAGACUAACUACUGCGAAAGCAUUUGCCAAGGAUGUUUUCAUUAAUCAAGAACGAAAGUUAGGGGAUCGAAGACGAUCAGAUACCGUCGUAGUCUUAACCAUAAACUAUGC
RNAcentral lists this unclassified non-coding RNA (466 nucleotides) under uncultured Glomus. Its description in RNAcentral is "SSU rRNA". It matches the Rfam family "Eukaryotic small subunit ribosomal RNA", at positions 569 to 1042 of the family's 1831-position model. The record is from RNAcentral. Lineage: Eukaryota; Fungi; Glomeromycota; Glomeromycetes; Glomerales; Glomeraceae.